RNAcentral lists this long non-coding RNA (202 nucleotides) under Volvox carteri. RNAcentral describes it as "long non-coding RNA (VCAR_LNC002781)". The record is from RNAcentral. Lineage: Eukaryota; Viridiplantae; Chlorophyta; Chlorophyceae; Chlamydomonadales; Volvocaceae.
CUCCAAACUGCUCUGCCCCGACCAUCCAACAAUUACCAGCACCGCUACCACAGAAACUGACUCAACACUGAUGAGCGAACUGAAUUACCAACAUAGACAUUGAGUCAACCGGUACGAUCGUUUAGCGGGCGGUACAGCCCCUUCCACUAGUGGAAUCGUAUGACCUACUUCGCGAUCUGGAGGAAGGCCUUUGAGCUCUUCG